This 676-nucleotide ribosomal RNA is filed under the name uncultured bacterium. Its description in RNAcentral is "bacterial SSU rRNA". It matches the Rfam family "Bacterial small subunit ribosomal RNA", at positions 824 to 1500 of the family's 1533-position model. The record is from RNAcentral.
CGGGUUUUAAUUAACUUGGUNACGCAGCUAACGCGUGAAGUAGACCGCCUGGGGAGUACGGUCGCCAAGAUUAAAACUCAAAGGAAUUGAACGGGGACCCGCACAAGCGGUGGAUGAUGUGGAUUAAUUCGAUGCAACGCGAAAAACCUUACCUACCCUUGACAUGGCAAGAACCCUUGAGAGAUCAGGGGGUGCUCGAAAGAGAACUUGUACACAGGUGCUGCAUGGCUGUCGUCAGCUCGUGUCGUGAGAUGUUGGGUUAAGUCCCGCAACGAGCGCAACCCUUGUCAUUAGUUGCUACGAAAGAGCACUCUAAUGAGACUGCCGGUGACAAACCGGAGGAAGGUGGGGAUGACGUCAAGUCCUCAUGGCCCUUAUGGGUAGGGCUUCACACGUCAUACAAUGGUACAUAACAGAGGGCCGCCAACCCGNCGAGGGGGAGCUAAUCCCAGAAAGUGUAUCGUAGUCCGGAUUGUAGUCUGCAACUCGACUACAUGAAGUUGGAAUCGCUAGUAAUCGCGGAUCAGCAUGUCGCGGUGAAUACGUUCCCGGGUCUUGUACACACCGCCCGUCACACCAUGGGAGCGGGUUUUACCAGAAGUAGGUAGCUUAACCGCAAGGAGGGCGCUUACCACGGUAGGAUUCGUGACUGGGGUGAAGUCGUAACCAAGGUACC